GACAGAGGGUGCAAACGUUGUUCGGAAUUACUGGCGUAAAGCGCGUGUAGGCUGCCCCGAAAGUCAGGUGUGAAAGCCCUGGGCUCAACCCAGGAAGUGCACUUGAAACUUCGGGGCUCGAGUUCUGGAGAGGAUGGCGGAAUUCUCGGUGUAGAGGUGAAAUUCGUAGAUAUCGAGAGGAACACCGGUGGCGAAGGCGGCUAUCUGGGACAGUCGACUGACGCUGAGACGCGAAAGCGUGGGGAGCAAACAGGG
This 255-nucleotide ribosomal RNA is filed under the name uncultured bacterium. RNAcentral's name for it is "partial 16S ribosomal RNA". It matches the Rfam family "Bacterial small subunit ribosomal RNA", at positions 524 to 777 of the family's 1533-position model. The record is from RNAcentral.